GUCCGGUUCAGAAGGACGCAUGCUUUGAAUCAUAUCAUAAUCACAAAAGUAUAAAAAUUAAAUUGAAUUAAACCAAAAAUCAAGUCAGCUUUGAUAAAUUAAUCCCGAUCAAGGCAACCCAACAUCUAUUUUGUUAUAUUCAAUUCAGUCUAGCACCAGAGUCCGAUUGAAAAACACCUAAAUUUUCUGUAUAUUUAAAUCUUCAAAAUGUUUAUUGGUCCGGUUCAGAAAGAACACCUGCACGAUAUGAUCCUUGGCUGUGGUUGGCCGUGUGGAUCGUUGGGCGGUUCUUGUAAGAGCAACGGUGGCUGUUGAUUGUCAACGAAUCGAUGCGUCUAAGGCUGGAUCAAAUGCAUGAAAACAGAUGCGACGACUCACCUACAUUAUGUAUAUACCUUAAAGUUCAGGCGUAGUUAGUUAAAUAUUUAAAUAAAUGCAAUAGUAUAGACUAA
Long non-coding RNA from Drosophila montana, 452 nucleotides. RefSeq lists it as uncharacterized. NCBI's taxonomy places the organism in Eukaryota, Metazoa, Arthropoda, Insecta, Diptera, Drosophilidae. The transcript has 3 exons. The record is from RefSeq and is a predicted model, not a curated record.